UGGGUUAAGUCCCGCAACGAGCGCAACCCUCGUUUUUAGUUGCCAUCAUUAAGUUGGGCACUCUAGAGAGACUGCCGGUGACAAACCGGAGGAAAGGUGGGGAUGACGUCAAGUCAGCAUGCCCCUUACGUUCUGGGCUACACACGUACUACAAUGCUACGGACAAAGGGUAGCAAGACAGCGAUGUCAAGCCAAUCCCAUAAACCGUGGCUCAGUUCAGAUUGCAGGCUGCAACUCGCCUGCAUGAAGGCGGAAUCGCUAGUAAUCGCAGGUCAGCACUACUGCGGUGAAUACGUUCCCGGGCCUUGUACACACCGCCCGUCACACCAUGGAAGCUGGCUUAGCCCGAAGUCGUUACCCUAACCGUAAGGAGGGGGAUGCCGAAGGCAGGGCUGGUGACUGGGGUGAAGUCGUAACAAGGUAGCCGUACCGGAAGGUGUGGCUGGAUCACCUCCUUUAAGGGAGACCAAACCCAUCGACAAUCAAAAAUACCAAUUAGAUUGAGAUGAGGUCAACCUAGGUCGUGGCGAAGCAAGUGGAGCUUUUCAACUAUAAUUAAGGUUUGGGGGCUAUUAGCUCAGGUGGUUAGAGCACACCCCUGAUAAGGGUGAGGUCCCUGGUUCGAGUCCAGGAUAGCCCACCUAUAGGAAGCAGCUAGCAGUAAUGUUAGUUGCAAAAAUCCUUGGGGGUUUAGCUCAGUUGGUAGAGCGCCUGCUUUGCAAGCAGGAUGUCAGCGGUUCGAGUCCGCUAACCUCCACCUGAAGAAAACCAGCCAAGAGUUGAUUCAGCACCGUGGCUAACAGCAGCCAGAAUGCUGAGUAAUAACUCAGUCAGAACCUUGAAAACUGCAUAGAGAAAGCAAAUAGCAGGCAGAUCCAAUAGGGUAAAACCUAAAGUAUCUGACAAAAGAAACUGGUCAAGCUACAAAGGGCUAAUGGGGAUACCUWGGCACACAGAGGCGADG
RNAcentral lists this small RNA (964 nucleotides) under uncultured Antarctic cyanobacterium. Its description in RNAcentral is "bacterial SSU rRNA". The stretch from base 1 to 458 matches the Rfam family "Bacterial small subunit ribosomal RNA", at positions 1076 to 1533 of the family's 1533-position model. The record is from RNAcentral. Lineage: Bacteria; Bacillati; Cyanobacteriota.